Molecule: microRNA precursor, 164 nt
Filed under: Pongo abelii (Sumatran orangutan)
Lineage: Eukaryota; Metazoa; Chordata; Mammalia; Primates; Hominidae
Description: miRNA
Source: RNAcentral
UACCAGGGCAGAGCGGGGCUGAUCAUCCCACAUCAGAGAGGGGGGAAGGGGCUGCCCAGUGAACCCUCACAGGGCUCUGCAUCUCCAGCUGGGCCUGGCUGGGGAUCCCAGAGUCCCUGAAGGCCCCCACCACCGGUCUGGUCUGUCUCUGCCCUGGCACCCAG